This 918-nucleotide long non-coding RNA is filed under the name Brachypodium distachyon (stiff brome). Its description in RNAcentral is "long non-coding RNA (BDIS_LNC001986)". The record is from RNAcentral. Lineage: Eukaryota; Viridiplantae; Streptophyta; Magnoliopsida; Poales; Poaceae.
GCGGGCGACGAGCUCCGGCGAGGAAUUGGGCGGCAUGGGCGCGAGGAUUCGGGCGAGCAAGAGAGGGGAAGGAGAGAUGGGCGUGCUGGCUUUAUAGGGACGCGGGCGGUGAGACGCGGGAGGCACGGGAGGCGGAGUUCUCGGUGGAGACGGCGCGCGGCGGUGAAGAAGGAAGGCGGCGACGUUCACGGGCGCUUUCCAAACGAGGAAGAAGAGCCUGACAGGUGGGCCCCACCUGUCAGCGCCUCAGCGCGCGCGCACGGAGAGGACCGGGCCGGUUAGGCCGUCUCGCGUGCGGUCAGGCGCAGUAGGUUCCGGGCCGGUUCGGCCCAAGCGGUCGGACAGGUCCGGUUUUCUUUUUCUUUUCUUUUUUCUUUUCUUUUUCCCUUUUUCUCAUUUCUUUGAUAAAUUUUGAUUUUGAACUCCAAAUUGGUCCAAAUAAAUGCCAGAAAAUUUGUAAAAUCAUGUUUCAUCAUGAUUCAACUUUUGGGAGAGAUUUCCCCUCAAAAUAAAAUAUAUAAAAAUACAUUUGCCCUAUAAAUGCCUUUAGGGCUAUAUAACUAUUCAAAUAAAAUACUUUUUCAACUCCAAAUAAUUUUCCAAAAAUUAUGGGAUAGCUUAUUUAUGCAAUAAACCCCUUUUAUAAAUAAACGCUAUUGGUUUGAAGAUCCAGAGCUCAAAUGGGUGCAAACCCUAGGGUUUAAAUUGAAAUCGAAGUCUUUUAAAGCCUUUUGACAUUCAAAUUUGAAUGCAAAUAUGCAAUUGUGGCAUGAUGCUCAUGGAUGCAAUGCAGAUGUAAAAGUUUGAAAUUUUGGGAUGUUACAACCACUAGUUGCCAUGAAUGAAGAUAAGUGUUGUUUCCUGAAUUUCAAGUUGCCUCGAUUAUUUGUAUGUUUCUCCUCCUUCUGUCUCCUGCCA